GACGAACGCUGGCGGCGUGCUUAACACAUGCAAGUCGAACGGAAAGGCCCUGCUUUUGUGGGGUGCUCGAGUGGCGAACGGGUGAGUAACACGUUAGUAACCUUCCCUUUACUUUGGGAUAACUUCAGGAAACUGGGGCUAAUACCGGAUAGUAGCUCCUGCUGCAUGGUGGGUGUUGGAAAGUUUCGGCGGUUGGGGAUGGACUCGCGGCUUAUCAGCUUGUUGGUGGGGUAGUGGCUUACCAAGGCUUUGACGGGUAGCCGGCCUGAGAGGGUGACCGGCCACAUUGGGACUGAGAUACGGCACAGACUCCUACGGGAGGCAGCAGUGGGGAAUAUUGCACAAUGGGCGGAAGCCUGAUGCAGCAACGCCGCGUGCGGGAUGACGGCCUUCGGGUUGUAAACCGCUGUCGCCUGUGACGAAGAGUGAGUGACGGUAAUGGGUAAAGAAGCACCGGCUAACUACGUG
Molecule: ribosomal RNA, 468 nt
Filed under: uncultured bacterium
Lineage: Bacteria
Description: partial 16S ribosomal RNA
Rfam family: Bacterial small subunit ribosomal RNA
Source: RNAcentral